Molecule: ribosomal RNA, 484 nt
Filed under: uncultured bacterium
Lineage: Bacteria
Description: partial 16S ribosomal RNA
Rfam family: Bacterial small subunit ribosomal RNA
Source: RNAcentral
AUUGAACGCUGGCGGCAGGCCUAACACAUGCAAGUCAAGCGGAUGAAGGGAGCUUGCUCCUGGAUUCAGCGGCGGACGGGUGAGUAAUGCCUAGGAAUCUGCCUGGUAGUGGGGGAUAACGUCCGGAAACGGGCGCUAAUACCGCAUACGUCCUGAGGGAGAAAGUGGGGGAUCUUCGGACCUCACGCUAUCAGAUGAGCCUAGGUCGGAUUAGCUAGUUGGUGGGGUAAAGGCCUACCAAGGCGACGAUCCGUAACUGGUCUGAGAGGAUGAUCAGCCACACUGGAACUGAGACACGGUCCAGACUCCUACGGGAGGCAGCAGUGGGGAAUAUUGGACAAUGGGCGAAAGCCUGAUCCAGCCAUGCCGCGUGUGUGAAGAAGGUCUUCGGAUUGUAAAGCACUUUAAGUUGGGAGGAAGGGCAGUAAGUUAAUACCUUGCUGUUUUGACGUUACCAACAGAAUAAGCACCGGCUAACUUCGUG